UACGGAGGGUGCAAGCGUUACUCGGAAUUACUGGGCGUAAAGCGUGCGCAGGCGGUGAUGUAAGACCGAUGUGAAAUCCCCGGGCUUAACCUGGGAACUGCAUUGGUGACUGCAUCGCUCGAGUAUGGCAGAGGGGGGUAGAAUUCCACGUGUAGCAGUGAAUGCGUAGAGAUGUGGAGGAAUACCGAUGGCGAAGGCAGCCCCCUGGGUCAAUACUGACGCUCAUGCACGAAAGCGUGGGGAGCAAACAGG
RNAcentral lists this ribosomal RNA (252 nucleotides) under uncultured bacterium. Its description in RNAcentral is "partial 16S ribosomal RNA". It matches the Rfam family "Bacterial small subunit ribosomal RNA", at positions 524 to 776 of the family's 1533-position model. The record is from RNAcentral.